This is a long non-coding RNA of Mauremys reevesii (Reeves's turtle), 1127 nucleotides long. RefSeq lists it as uncharacterized. The transcript is spliced from 3 exons. The record is from RefSeq and is a predicted model, not a curated record. NCBI's taxonomy places the organism in Eukaryota, Metazoa, Chordata, Testudines, Geoemydidae.
GUCUCCACUCCCCAUUUGUAAUGGGAAAGCAGGGCUUUUUGCUUGAGCACAGCAGAACCGGGAACCUCCUCCAACAGUAAGGAUGGAUGGCAGCCUGACUCGACACAGGGAACGGCCCCUCAGCCUUAUGGCUCUGCGCCUGCAACCAGCAGAAAGCGGGGUUGGCUUACGGGUGCGGCCAAUGUAGAGGAGAGGAGUCGAGGGACACAGACCAUCCCAGGCCUCUGUUGACAGCGUCGUCUGCUUCUCUCCCGACUUGGGAUCCACGACGAACCAGGAUGUACAGGCUGCCAUCAUUGGGGUCUGGAAGAAAUGCCGGUCUGAAAGGAAGGAGAACGAAAUGCCAGCCAUGUCCUGCUUCAGGGCACAAGCCAGCUACGCACAGGGACCCAGCGGGGAGCCCCGAGCAGUCACAGCUGCUUGUGUGAAGCUGCCCAGUGUGGUGCAUGUACCCCCCUUAAAACAGCAAGACCCCUGGGACUGGGAUAUGCACAAGGUGUCAUUCUCCAGUGUCCCCUGCUCAGAGCAGCACUGGCAGGAUCUGAACUGGAGGGAGUGUCUCCAGCCCUUCUCAGGCAGGAGGAGAGUCUCUGGGAUGGGGUACCCCCACAGGCAAUGGUGAUCCCAGUGGACCUGACCCCCAAAUAAACACCCUCCAGAGUCAUUGCUCACCGUCCUUCAGGGUCCACUUGAUGUCGCCUGUCUUCUUACUCACAGCGUGAAGGUUCCCAUCAAGGGUGGACACAAACAGCAGUGUUUCUGGGACAGUCACUGUGCUGCCAGCGAGACACUGAGGGCAGAAACAUGGCAAAAAUAACACAGUGCCUCACCAGGACAACAAGAUCCAUUUAAUGGGCCUGCCAACCGCAGCCCCCGGUACACCAGCUAACCACUCCACUGUGUUACUGAGAAAGUGCCCAAUGGGUCAAGAAAUGGGCAGAGGAAGGUUCCCCCCUAAAUUGAUACCACCCUGUACUGUAAUCCCAUCAAGUCUCAUAACUGAAGCAGAGUCAGAAUGGGUCACCCCUCGGGAGGGAAGACAUGGGAAAAAAAAAAACAAAUACAGGAAUUGGUGCUAUAGAGGGUGUUCUCCUUACUGAGUCUGUGCUACUUUGUGACAGGGUGUC